RNAcentral lists this ribosomal RNA (253 nucleotides) under uncultured bacterium. RNAcentral describes it as "partial 16S ribosomal RNA". It matches the Rfam family "Bacterial small subunit ribosomal RNA", at positions 524 to 776 of the family's 1533-position model. The record is from RNAcentral.
UACGUAGGGUGCAAGCGUUGUCCGGAAUUAUUGGGCGUAAAGAGCGUGUAGGCGGCCAGGUAGGUCUGCUGUGAAAACUCGAGGCUCAACCUCGAGAUGUCGGCGGAAACCAUCUGGCUAGAGUCCGGAAGAGGAAAGUGGAAUUCCUGGUGUAGCGGUGAAAUGCGCAGAUAUCAGGAAGAACACCCGUGGCGAAGGCGGCUUUCUGGGACGGUACUGACGCUGAGACGCGAAAGCGUGGGGAGCGAACAGG